Molecule: small nucleolar RNA, 67 nt
Organism: Misgurnus anguillicaudatus (oriental weatherfish)
Lineage: Eukaryota; Metazoa; Chordata; Actinopteri; Cypriniformes; Cobitidae
Product: small nucleolar RNA SNORD58
Source: RefSeq, a predicted model, not a curated record
UUGCUAUGAUGACUUUCUUAGGACACCUUUGGAAUUUAACAUGAAAAUACUACUUGGUCUGAGCAAU